AUUGAACGUUGGCGGAAUGCUUUACACAUGCAAGUCGAACGGCAGCACGGACUUCGGUCUGGUGGCGAGUGGCGAACGGGUGAGUAAUGUAUCGGAACGUGCCCAGUCGUGGGGGAUAACGUAGUGAAAGUUACGCUAAUACCGCAUACGAUCUAUGGAUGAAAGCGGGGGAUCGCAAGACCUCGCGCGAUUGGAGCGGCCGAUAUCAGAUUAGGUAGUUGGUGGGGUAAAGGCCCACCAAGCCAACGAUCUUUAGCUGGUCUGAGAGGACGACCAGCCACACUGGAACUGAGACACGGUCCAGACUCCUACGGGAGUCAGCAGUGGGGAAUUUUGGACAAUGGGCGAAAGCCUGAUCCAGCCAUUCCGCGUGCAGGAUGAAGGCCCUCGGGUUGUAAACUGCUUUUCUACAGAACGAAAAGGUUUCUACUAAUACUAGGAGCUCAUGACGGUACUGUAAGAAUAAGCACCGGCUAACUACGUGCCAGCAGCCGCCGUAA
RNAcentral lists this ribosomal RNA (500 nucleotides) under uncultured bacterium. Its description in RNAcentral is "partial 16S ribosomal RNA". It matches the Rfam family "Bacterial small subunit ribosomal RNA", at positions 30 to 523 of the family's 1533-position model. The record is from RNAcentral.